CGCAGCCGCGGGAAUACGUAGGUGGCAAGCGUUGUCCGGAAUUAUUGGGCGUAAAGGGCUCGCAGGCGGUUUCUUAAGUCUGAUGUGAAAGCCCCCGGCUCAACCGGGGAGGGUCAUUGGAAACUGGGAAACUUGAGUGCAGAAGAGGAGAGUGGAAUUCCACGUGUAGCGGUGAAAUGUGUAGAGAUGUGGAGGAACACCAGUGGCGAAGGCGACUCUCUGGUCUGUAACUGACGCUGAGGAGCGAAAGCGUGGGGAGCGAACAGGAUUAGAUACCCGAGUAGUCCCUGUCUCUUAUACA
RNAcentral lists this ribosomal RNA (301 nucleotides) under uncultured bacterium. RNAcentral's name for it is "partial 16S ribosomal RNA". It matches the Rfam family "Bacterial small subunit ribosomal RNA", at positions 510 to 808 of the family's 1533-position model. The record is from RNAcentral.